This 254-nucleotide ribosomal RNA is filed under the name uncultured bacterium. RNAcentral describes it as "partial 16S ribosomal RNA". It matches the Rfam family "Bacterial small subunit ribosomal RNA", at positions 524 to 776 of the family's 1533-position model. The record is from RNAcentral.
UACGGGGGGGUGCGAGCGUUGUCCGGAAUCACUGGGCGUAAAGGGCGCGUAGGUGGCUCUGUAAGUUUGCGGUGAAAGCCCGGGGCUCAACCCCGGGUCUGCCGUGGAUACUGCAAGGCUUGAGUACUGUAGAGGCAGGUAGAAUAUCGGGUGUAGCGGUGGAAUGCGUAGAGAUCCGAUAGAAGACCGGUGGCGAAGGCGGCCUGCUGGGCAGUAACUGACACUGAGGCGCGACAGCGUGGGGAGCAAACAGG